This 250-nucleotide ribosomal RNA is filed under the name uncultured bacterium. RNAcentral's name for it is "partial 16S ribosomal RNA". It matches the Rfam family "Bacterial small subunit ribosomal RNA", at positions 524 to 773 of the family's 1533-position model. The record is from RNAcentral. RNAcentral also lists the same sequence under 1 other name.
UACGUAGGGGGCAAGCGUUGUCCGGAAUUAUUGGGCGUAAAGCGCGCGCAGGCGGUUUCUUAAGUCUGGUGUGAAAGCCCGCAGCUCAACUGCGGAGGGCCACUGGAAACUGGGAAGCUUGAGUGUAGGAGAGGAGAGCGGAAUUCCACGUGUAGCGGUGAAAUGCGUAGAUAUGUGGAGGAACACCCGUGGCGAAAGCGGCUCUCUGGCCUAUAACUGACGCUGAGGCGCGAAAGCGUGGGGAGCAAAC